GAACGAGAAAGUGGAGCAAUCCAUGAGUAAAGUGGCGACCGGGUGAGUAACACGUGACUAACCUACCCUCGAGUGGGGAAUAACUCCGGGAAACCGGGGCUAAUACCGCAUAACAUCGCAAGAUCAAAGCAGCAAUGCGCUUGAGGAGGGGGUCGCGGCUGAUUAGCUAGUUGGCGGGGUAACGGCCCACCAAGGCGAUGAUCGGUAGCCGGCCUGAGAGGGCGCACGGCCACACUGGAACUGAAACACGGUCCAGACUCCUACGGGAGGCAGCAGUGGGGAAUUUUGCGCAAUGGGGGAAACCCUGACGCAGCAACGCCGCGUGGAGGAUGAAGCCCCUUGGGGGUGUAAACUCCUUUCGAUCGGGACGAUUAUGACGGUACCGGAUGAAGAAGCACCGGCUAACUACGUG
Molecule: ribosomal RNA, 412 nt
Filed under: uncultured bacterium
Lineage: Bacteria
Description: bacterial SSU rRNA
Rfam family: Bacterial small subunit ribosomal RNA
Source: RNAcentral